UGUAGCUCAGUUGGUUAGAGCGUUGCUCUUAUGAGCCGAAGGUCACGGGUUCGAGCCCCGCCA
Molecule: transfer RNA, 63 nt
Filed under: Gossypium hirsutum (cotton)
Lineage: Eukaryota; Viridiplantae; Streptophyta; Magnoliopsida; Malvales; Malvaceae
Rfam family: tRNA
About the family: Transfer RNA (tRNA) molecules are approximately 80 nucleotides in length. Their secondary structure includes four short double-helical elements and three loops (D, anti-codon, and T loops). Further hydrogen bonds mediate the characteristic L-shaped molecular structure. tRNAs have two regions of fundamental functional importance: the anti-codon, which is responsible for specific mRNA codon recognition, and the 3' end, to which the tRNAs corresponding amino acid is attached (by aminoacyl-tRNA synthetases). tRNAs cope with the degeneracy of the genetic code in two manners: having more than one tRNA (with a specific anti-codon) for a particular amino acid; and 'wobble' base-pairing, i.e. permitting non-standard base-pairing at the 3rd anti-codon position.
Source: Rfam by way of RNAcentral